Mastomys coucha (southern multimammate mouse) is the source of this 790-nucleotide long non-coding RNA. RefSeq lists it as uncharacterized. The record is from RefSeq and is a predicted model, not a curated record. The transcript is spliced from 6 exons. Lineage: Eukaryota; Metazoa; Chordata; Mammalia; Rodentia; Muridae.
CUUGUUAAUUAAAUGCUUGCUUAAACCUGCUGCCCAUCACUAUUGGGACUUGGAAAUGUUUUAGGGCAUGCAACAUAGUGGCAGAUGGGUUACUGGGGACAUAAUAACAAAAGGAAUUAGCCACCCCAUUCUGAUACUUUGCUUUUGUUGUCAUAUGAAUGGACCUCUUCUGUCACAAUUACUGCCUCUUUGACUCAAACCGACUAUGAGAAGUGGCAAAGGACAGGAUGUUCUGAAACUUCUAACACUUGAAAUGGAUCUAUAACAAUAAUAAUGACAUCUGGAAGCCAUUCCUGGGAAAAGAAAAGACCAAGGCCAGUGGAAUGCAGCAUGUGGAUAAAUAUUGCAAGUUCAGCUAUGUGACUAGAAUCCAACUUCACAGCAUUAAAGGCAGUUUAAACCACCAGGACAUGAAGAAAUGAAAUGCAAAUCUGCUGUAUAAUUUUAUAUUUUCAAUUUGUAAAAUGUCCUCAGUGUCCCAAAGAAGAAAUAGAAAGAGACAAAUGUCAUUCCAUAGGAAAGAUGAAGUUCCUCCCACAACCUUGAAAGUAAUGCACUCUACCCACUCAACAAGUUGCUCCCUUAUCCCUCAUUCUCAAGGACUCUGUUUUAAUUUUAUGGCAUACAAAUCCUAUGAAGGCAAUUCUAUGAAAAUAGCAAUACAUUGGAAAAGAAGUAUUAAGGGUCAGCACCAAAGACCCCUUCUCUGAGGCCCACUCUGCCUAGGAGAGUGCCACUAAAUAGCCUCAUGAAGAAUUUGAAAAUUAAGACAGGAUGAACGCACAAGCAU